CCUACGGGCGGCAGCAGUGGGGAAUAUUGCACAAUGGGGGAAACCCUGAUGCAGCAACGCCGCGUGAGUGAAGAAGGAUUUCGGUAUGUAAAGCUCUAUCAGCAGGGAAGAAGAUGACGGGACCUGAUUAAGAAGCCCCGGCUAACUACGUCCCAGCAGCCGCGGUAAUACGUAGGGGGCAAGCGUUCGCCUGAUUUACUGGGUGUAAAGGGAGCGCAGACGGCAGGGCAAGUCUGGAGUGAAAGCCCCGGGCCCAACCCCGGAACUGCUCUUGAAACUGGCCGGCUAGAGUACUGGAGGGGCAGGCGGAAUUCCUGGUGUAGCGGUGAAAUGCGUAGAUAUUAGGAGGAACACCAGUGGCGAAGGCGGCCUGCUGGACAGUAACUGACGUUGAGGCUCGAAAGCGUGGGGAGCAAACAGGAUUAGAUACCCGGGUAGUC
RNAcentral lists this ribosomal RNA (440 nucleotides) under uncultured bacterium. RNAcentral's name for it is "partial 16S ribosomal RNA". It matches the Rfam family "Bacterial small subunit ribosomal RNA", at positions 338 to 795 of the family's 1533-position model. The record is from RNAcentral.